Molecule: long non-coding RNA, 7819 nt
Organism: Gallus gallus (chicken)
Lineage: Eukaryota; Metazoa; Chordata; Aves; Galliformes; Phasianidae
Source: Ensembl
AGAAUUUGAAAGACACUAUUUAAUGUAUCUCUUUAGUCUUCUGGAGAAGCCUGAGAAAAAUCAAAUUACAGACAUUUGUCCUUUUUUGAAACCAAAGGUUUUACAAUAUUGUGUACAUAAUUCCAUGUGUGGAAAAAAAAUGGCUUUGAUCCAAAAAGCCAAUAAUACAGACAGAGAACAGAAAAGGCAAAGGCAAAGUAUCAGAAGGCAGACAAUGAUAGCAAAAUUAUGUAUCAACAAGAAUGAGCCUAUCUCUCUCUCUGUUUACUUCAAAUAUGUUCUUUGUUUUUUUUUUUCUCUUCCUGCAUUAGUUGCCAUAUUGAAGAAAGGACUGAAACAACUAAUGAGCUAAAUAUAUUACCAUUAAAUGGGAAGAAAAUGACUAUCAGCAACUUGAAAAAACUCUUAAUUGACAUGAAACUAGACUUAACAAAAGCUGUACUUUUAAAACUAACCUUUUCUGAAAAGUACUUAUUUGUGAAACAAAUAAAUUAGAAACAGAACAUAAGGUAUCCAAACAAGGAGUCCAUUUGUAGAGGAUGUCACCCCUUUACCUGUUAUGAAAGGUAACAGGCCCUCACAAACUGCAUUCUAGCUCCAUCUGUAGGAAGCUUGGACAAAAGUAAUUCUGUGAAUUAGCAAAUACGCGUACAGAUUUGUGUGUCAGCUCUGGUAUUUCUUGCAGGUCUUUUUGAAAGUCUGCAGUUUAUCCAUUAAGCCUCUAAUUCUAGCUGCCCUCUGGAAUCUUUUCUGAAGUGAAAGGAGAAGAGGGAAAAAGGAAGGUGAGAAGGAAAUAAAAGUGAAAUCAUAUUAUAUGUCAUCAUCCCAGAUAUCUGAACUGCUUUAUAUUUAUUUUACCUAUCUAUGCAUUAGAAGUUAAAAUAAGGCUUUUUCUUUUCAAUACAGGAUUUUGAUUCUAGAGGAACUAACCACAUGGACAAGCCUUUUCUCCUGGUCUCAAUUCAUGCUAUUGCUCAUCCUAAGAGGUUACAGCUAUGGUGCAUAUGAAAGUAUGCAUCAUAACCAAGAGUUUCAGCUAUCGUUGGAUACUAAAUCCAACCUACUCUUAAUUGGCUUGCUUGUGUGCAGUUAUUGUUUUCUUUUCAACAAGACAGAGCACAAUGCAGACUGCAAAGCUACAUGAAAAAAAGCCCACUCUCACUCAGCUGAUGUGGCUUUUUGAUAUCCAAACUGACUCACUUAAAGCUUUGUCACUGAAGAAACCUAACAGAAAUGUGACACGCUGCAGUGAUCAGGUACCUGUCAACAGCUGUGAUAUUAACCCAAGAAAAGGUAUGCAUGGCAACUCACUCUGUCACAUAAAAUACAUACUCAAUGACUCAAAAAAUAUGACUGGUGGUUUUAAUAGUACAGUAAUUUGCUGUUCAUGUCACAAAAAUUUUUGUAUUCUUUGUGUAACAGCAAUUAUUGGAAAAGAGCUCAGAAUUUGCUGAAAUCGAAGGCACACUUUGCAGUGCAGUUUCCACUGUAUUGUGAAAUGUCUCUGUGUUCAGGGUACUGGUUUAAUAGAUAUAUUAUAGAGAGCUGAUUCAGCAGAAAUAAUCUCAGAUGUACUUGUCCCAGACAUUCGUGGUUUCUGACUGCAGUGGCAGUCAGAUCCUCAUAGUAAAAGAGGUUCAUUGACUUUAAUAUCAGGGAAAAAUACUCCAUGAACAAAAAUAUCCCUGCCUUCUGCAUGGACACAUAGCAUUCUUACAUCUUUUUGUGGGCAUGACUGGUUUGACAAGCCUCCAGUUCAGCUUGUCCAGCUUCAGUUUGCGUCUUUUAACAUAUCUGUAUACAGCUGUAAUGUUCCUCUAAAAAGUGCCAAUUCAUCAAGCCACCCCAUGUUGAUCGGUGUUCCAUAUGGAUAACACAGAGGAGAAACACAGGAAAUAACUUGUAUAAAGCACUGCAUUUUACUCACAGUACUGGAACAGGAUUUUCUGUUUAACCAGGAGUCAUGUAUUCUAAUAGAGCUUCAGAGUUGUUUUGCAGCAUCUUUAUUUUCUUCUGCUUUGUUUUUGCAUGAGUACACGUCUCUGCACUUUUCCUUAAAAAUGUAAUCAGACUAUGGUUAACAUGAUUGAGGCAAAUUCCUUAAAAUAUCAGAAAGAAAAUAAGUUUUAUCUUCAUGCUGAUAGUUACAUGCAGUUUUCUUCAUUGUUGAUCAUCAUAGGAGCCCAAUAAUUCACAUAUGGUAUCACAUCUGAAAGGCAACUGUACAAUUUUAUUUGAUUAGCAAUACCUUGGGUAGGUACCUGAUGAUUAAGUUAAAUGCCUGUUUAAAUGGGUUGUACACUCAGGUUUAGUGAUUUUAGUUACAAAAGCUGCAUGUCCACUCUUCUACAUCACACUGUAUUUGCAUCUGAUCUGCUUAGAAGAUUUAAAUAGUGACUUUCUUAUCAUUUGAGUACAGUUUACAAUGUCAUCUCCACCCUCACAUCCUCAAGAAAAAGGGAAGACAAAGGCAAAGACAGACAAAAAAGGAAGGAAAGGAGUGAAAUCAAGUUUCAGGAAGCAAAUUUUUUUAUUUUUUCCCGAAGAAAAGAAAGGAUAACGGGAACCAAACUCUCCAUAAACCUUUUAUAUGACUACUGCUCAUAAUGGAGAGCUCUGUUCCAUUUCUGAAAUAGUUUUUAUUUGUAAAGUGAAAUGGGUAACACAUAAUAAAUGAUCCUCUGAAGAACAAUUAUACUGAUUUGGUUUAACCAGGCCCAGAGUAAACCUGAAACUGCUCCACAAGCCUUUUGAAUGCUCACAUAUUUUUCUGAAACAUUCAGAACUGCUUUAUGCAAGUAUCUGCUACAUAUUCAAUAGACCUGACAAGUUCCAUUAUCCAGUUCCCAGUCCAAGACAAUCAUGAAAUCUGAGUGUUGCUUACACGAUCCAUUUAUAUAAUAUAUUUGUUUAAGGACAAAGCUUUCCUGGAGUUAGCCUUUAACCAGACACUUGAAGGAAAUGAAUCAAUACAUUGUAACACUUGUGGAAUCAGUCUCAGGUUUAUUCAAACUGAAUAGCGCAUCACCUGGCAGACAAUUUUGCAGCAUGUUACUAGAAUUAUACUGCCCUAGCUUCUAAGAGCAAGGAAGAUUUAGGACUGGCCUAUUUUCGAGAGAGAAGAAGUUAGUAAUACAAGGUAUAUCUGAUUUACUGGGUUAAACUCUCAAGAUGUUAUUUUUAUGUACGCAUGCAAGUGUUGUACAGCAUUUUCAGACCUGCUCAGUUAACAUUUUCAUGCUUUUAUUUUAUGACAGAAAGUAAGAAAGAGAAGAAUGAUUUAAAGGUCUUGUGAGUUAUUAACAGGAAAAUGAGACUAGAAAUGUGCACACAGUUAUGCAAGCUGUAAUACAACGUCUUUUAUCACUGGGCUGCAGGACAGACUGGAUUCAGGCUAAGUGAUCUACCCAGUAUCUAAAGCUCUUCAUUUUUAAGCAAUGGACAGAAGAAGCAGUUAGGCCAUGGGUGUCCAACCUUUUGGCUUGCCAGAGCUGUACUGAAUGAACAGGAAUUGUCUUGAGCCAAAUAUAGAUAAGUUGCUCUGAAAGUAAUGUCUCCUGUUUAUUUCCAUGGAAAUGACACCAGAUGCACUAGUGGAGGUGAUCCACUGUUGUCACUGCUGAAACGCAACACUGCCUCACUGUGCUGACAUCCAUUGUUUGAACUCGAUAAACAUUCAGCAAGCAUCAAAGAAUGUCAUUGGGUGACAUUUUUUCCACAUGGAAGAAUUCAAUGACACAUCCUUGCAUUAUAUGCACUUCCAUGUCAGGUGCCAUCAUGUCAGACUGCCCCUCUGCUGCCAUUUGUCAUACAGCAACAAAAUGUAAGGGAAUACUGGUGGGAAGUUUCAAUCUCCACUGCCAUCCCACCAGCAUCUGCUCCUGAUGUUUUUGUGGGAUAUUUGGCCUUGUUUUUGCGAAAGUAAUGCAUCAGUUUAGUUCAAGGGAAGUGGUUGUAAGGUUUUGAUCAGAGAUUUUUCACAAACUUUUACUGUUUCUUGACAACAGUUGCUCACAAAUGUAUGUACUGCCAAAAAGCAACCUCAUGAAUAAGGUGUGACUGUGAAUCAAAGGACAUUUUUGUCUGAUAAGACAGAUCUUAUAAGGGUCUAGUAAAGAGACAUGAUCAGAUUUUUCUUUGCGUUGGAUAUCUGAUUGCAGCUUUACACACUCCAUUUGAAUGCUUGCAGGUAAUAAGUCAAUUAAAAAUGGAGUUGCAAAUAAACUAAACAAUUGAUGAAGUUUUUGACAAUCUUUAUUCUCCACUAUUCUCAAAUUCCUUUAUCAAAUUGGAAAGCACAUUUGCAUAUAUAUAUAUAGACCAAAUAUAUAUACAUAAACCAAAUAUAUAUAUUUUGCAGUUUACAGGGCUGUGUUUAGUCAAUGCAUCAAAAUGCAUACAAUUGUUUGCUGUAGCUUGAGUUGGCAUUGCACUACAGCCUCUCAGUGCCCUGGUUUCAGCCCAGAUAGUGCCAACCACACGCCGAUGUCUGGCUGUUGGUGAGUGAUGGUGAGUGAGUUGGUGCUCCUGGAGCCAGGCUGAGCUGGGUCACUUGGACAGGCAGAGCUGCCGCCAUGAUGGUGCAGGGUAGAAUGGGCUUGGCCACGCUGCAUGCAGCCCACAGGCCACAGGUUGGGCAUGCAAAGUCUAGUCCGUCAACCACUCCUCUCAAUUGUUUAUAAUCUAUGAAUCUGCUGAGAAUGCACCCUACCCCAUCAUCUGAAUCAUUAAGGAAAACAUUUUGGUCAAUACUGAUGCCAGUACUGACCCCAACAUAUCCCACUAGUAAUGGGACUGCAGCUGAAUGUUGCAUUGCUGAUAACAAUCCCUUGAACCAUGAAGUUCAGCCAGUUUUCAGUCCAUCUCACUGUUCGUUUAUCUAGUUCAUACUUCAUCAGAUUGUCUAUAAAAGAUAUUAUGGGAGAAAGUGCUGAAAGCCUCGCUGACAUCAAAAUAAACAACACAUGAUGCUGCCUUCCCCAAGCCCACCAAGCCAAUUGUUUCAGAAGGCUAAUAGGUUGGUCAAACAUGGUCUGAUCUCCUGAAGUACAGGGUUAUAAUCCCACUGUUUGCCUUUUUCCCUUCCUUCAUGAUCUCAGACACCACCGUCUCAUAACUACCAGAGGCAAUCCUACCUGCAAGCUUCACAUUUCUGACUAGACCUUUGCAACUAUCAGACUCAACAGGGCAUCUCCAUCUGUUGCUUCUUUGAUCACCUGUGUCAAGAAGUUGUCAUCAACCUGUCCUAGAAACCUCCUGGAUUGCUUACACUCAACAGCAUCAGUCUUCUAAAUAUUUCUGUGGAGGACGGAGACCCCAAAAGGACAACUGUCUGCUAGCAGAAGACUUUCUCAAGGUGUCCAAAAAGGGCCUCACUUGCCUGUUUCUGAUCUGGAGGACUGUAGCAGACACCCACUGCAAUGUUGCCUUCUUUAGUUUGCUCUCUAAUCCUAACCUAUAAAGUCUCAGCUGGUCUGGGAUCCAUCCCCAGGCAGAGCUCUCUCAAAUAUUAACUGCCAGUCCCACUCCUCAUUGUCCUGGCCGGUAUGUCCUAAACUGCCCAAAUCUGUCUUCACCAGCAGUUCAGUCAUGAGCCAUCCUGCCACAUUUGCCCAACCAGAUCGUGAGCCAUACAGCUAUACACAAAAGGCUUUAAUUUGUCUUCUUGAUACCUUAUGGUGCAUGUAUUAGUGUACAGACACUUCUGAGUACCCUGCUAGGCUGAUUUCCACUAAGAACUGUGAGAGCUUCUUGAAUACUACUUAUGGGAAAUGUUUUGAACAGUGUGGCAAAUAUCUGGGACAGAAAAAGAAGGCCUUCCAAUACGUCUCUUCAGUGCAUAUCACAUUAUUGAGUUCCUCUUAGUAGCACUUCUAACACUGUCAUGCUUAAUUUUUGUCACCAAACUGAACAAUCUCUUUCACAAUGUUACACACGAACAUUUCAGGGAUGUAGCACAUCUUUUAAAAAGUGCUUAACCCAAUUCAUUUUGGCUGUUCUCUAAUACUUCUCUAAUGAAAUCUAGAUCUAAAGUCAAUAUGAGCAAAGUUCAAAAUUUCACAUGGAGUUUUAGAUAUCUUAAACUUUUCAGUAACAGCAACAGCUUUUCAAAAUAAAGUCCUUUCACAAAUCUUUUCCUGCAGAAACACAGUAUGAGGUUUUUUUUUUAUAUCUUAGCAAAUAGCUUCUAACUUGAGCUAGAAAGAUUUCCUGAAAGGACUUCUAUAUUCUAAAAACUUUAGAAGAUAAAUUACAGAAGUAAGUAAUUCACUGACUUCUGAAAAAAGCCUCAUUAUGGACCUGGUCUUUUAAGAAUGUCCUCAUGAAAGAAGUUUUGAUCUUCUUUCAUAUUUCGAUCUCACUGGGCCAACUUCCAUUAUCUAGCCUCCCCCCUCCCCCGAAGUUGUGUAAAGAUACAGAAUCAGCUUGUAAUUUGUGAGAAGAGUUUUAUCUACUGGCAAAAUUGAAGUGUUUAAGCAAGAGCUUAACGUGUUUCUUAUUUCCUUCUAUUGUGAUGCUGUAAUAUUGUGUUUAUGACAGUAAAAUAACAGUCACACUCCACAGGAAAGAAUCCUCAUUAAGCAGAACUAUCUCUGUAAUAAUCAAAUGCAACAUAACAUUCAUUAAACAAACACCUUGUGGUAUGAACAUUUAUCUUCAAACAUGACCCAGUUUAAAAGUUUGCCUUAGAAUGACAACUUACAUGUUCUUGCAGAAUUUUCUAACAUGCUUUGAGGGCUGAAAUUCAUUAAGUUUCUGAUUCUGGUUAUUUUGCCAAAUUUUGAAAACAUCAUGCUGUUUCCAGCUUUGUUUUUAUGAUGGUACGGCUAUUGUCACAUUCCUUUAGAAUCAGUGUAGCUAAACAUGACUACAUGUAUAUUUUAAAAACAAUUGAAUUUAUUGGUACUAUAUUUUUGAACAACCUACCCCAACAUAUGCGGUAUCCAAAAUUUAUGUAGUUUAUUGUUGAAGCAACUCUGUCAGUGCUUUCAUGCCUGCUAUUCUUCUGUUACCACUGGCUCAUAAACCACCACACACAUUUCAUUAACUUGUUACAAUAAAAUUCCAGCUAACAGCAAAGAUGAUAUACAGAAGGAACUUCAUCUUGCUUUGGGUUCUGUUGAGUCUUCAUUACUCGCAGUGUAGGCAGGUGGCUGCUACCUGCAGAAAAGCACACAGACUCACAUUUGGUAGAAUCCAUUGCUGUGCUUUGCUCCUAUAAGUGUUUUAUUCACAGUAGCAAGUGCCAUUAUACCCACUAGUUUCCCUACUGGCUUGCUGGCACAAUCUCUUCCCUUUUUUCUUCCCCUAUGGAUGUUGCUACAAACAACAGCAGCAUUAAGAGAAAAUUCUGAUAAAAUAUAUUUAGUAUGUAUCAAGACGUCUAAUCAUUCAAGCUGGGGUGGCAACAAUCCAUUCAGGGGCUCUUCAGGUGCAAGAACACUGUUCAUCCAUCAUAAAUCUGCACAGCAGUAGCGCUACAAGUACUACAAUGCAACUCUGCACACGUCCUGCAAAAGCUCCGUUAAGUUUAAGUGGGUACCACUAUACUGUUGCACACUGUGCAGAAUGGAGCUGCUCCCGAACAACUAUUUCCCAGACACUGGCCUCACCACAACAGCCCCAUGGCCCACAGCCCCAUAGCAGUCCUAAGGCUCAGCACCCUUGAAGGGUCGCUGCGCUACAACUCAGUGACAAACUGUAAUGGCAGAGAAGGUCAACCUGAAGGCUCCGAGCCGCGUCCGGUCAUUACGUAGCACAGUUCUCACCUAAGGCCCGACGCUGGCAGCCGGCGGCCAAGACUUCCGGUAGCUCUCGC